Molecule: ribosomal RNA, 491 nt
Filed under: uncultured soil bacterium
Lineage: Bacteria
Description: bacterial SSU rRNA
Rfam family: Bacterial small subunit ribosomal RNA
Source: RNAcentral
AGAUUGAACGCUGGCGGCAGGCCUAACACAUGCAAGUCGAGCGGUAGAGAGGUGCUUGCAUCUCUUGAGAGCGGCGGACGGGUGAGUAAUGCCUAGGAAUCUGCCUAGUGGUGGGGGAUAACGUUCGGAAACGGACGCUAAUACCGCAUACGUCCUACGGGAGAAAGCGGGGGACCUUCGGGCCUCGCGCCAUUAGAUGAGCCUAGGUCGGAUUAGCUAGUUGGUGAGGUAAUGGCUCACCAAGGCGACGAUCCGUAACUGGUCUGAGAGGAUGAUCAGUCACACUGGAACUGAGACACGGUCCAGACUCCUACGGGAGGCAGCAGUGGGAAUAUUGGACAAUGGGCGAAAGCCUGAUCCAGCCAUGCCGCGUGUGUGAAGAAGGUCUUCGGAUUGAAAGCACUUUAAGUUGGAGGAAGGGUUGUAACCUAAUACGUUGCAACUUUGACGUUACCGACAGAAUAAGCACCGCUAACUCGUGCCAGCAGCCG